GACAGAGGGGGCAAGCGUUGCUCGGAAUUACUGGGCGUAAAGGGCGCGUAGGCGGGAUGGCAAGUCGGUCGUGAAGUCCCUCGGCUCAACCGAGGAACGUCGAUCGAUACUGCUGUUCUUGAGGAUUGCAGAGGAGACUGGAAUUCCCGGUGUAGCGGUGAAAUGUGUAGAGAUCGGGAGGAACACCGGUGGCGAAGGCGGGUCUCUGGGCAAUUCCUGACGCUGAGGCGCGAAAGCGUGGGGAGCAAACGGG
This 253-nucleotide ribosomal RNA is filed under the name uncultured bacterium. RNAcentral's name for it is "partial 16S ribosomal RNA". It matches the Rfam family "Bacterial small subunit ribosomal RNA", at positions 524 to 776 of the family's 1533-position model. The record is from RNAcentral.